This 469-nucleotide ribosomal RNA is filed under the name uncultured bacterium. Its description in RNAcentral is "partial 16S ribosomal RNA". It matches the Rfam family "Bacterial small subunit ribosomal RNA", at positions 28 to 507 of the family's 1533-position model. The record is from RNAcentral.
GACGAACGCUGGCGGCGUGCUUAACACAUGCAAGUCGAACGGAAAGGCCCUGCUUUUGUGGGGUGCUCGAGUGGCGAACGGGUGAGUAACACGUGAGUAACCUGCCCUUGACUUUGGGAUAACUUCAGGAAACUGGGGCUAAUACCGGAUAGGAGCUCCUGCUGCAUGGUGGGGGUUGGAAAGUUUCGGCGGUUGGGGAUGGACUCGCGGCUUAUUAGCUUGUUGGUGGGGUAGUGGCUUACCAAGGCUUUGACGGGUAGCCGGCCUGAGAGGGUGACCGGCCACAUUGGGACUGAGAUACGGCCCAGACUCCUACGGGAGGCAGCAGUGGGGAAUAUUGCACAAUGGGCGGAAGCCUGAUGCAGCAACGCCGCGUGCGGGAUGACGGCCUUCGGGUUGUAAACCGCUUUCGCUCAUGACGAAGCUUUGUGUGACGGUAGUGGGUAAAGAAGCACCGGCUAACUACGUG